GGCUUUUCCAAAUUUUCUCAGUCCACUUUCUCUCUCUAGAUCAGACCUCUUUAUCUCUCUACCUAUACAUACAUAUCCAUACAUUUAUACAUUUCGUCAAAUUCUCAAUUACGCUAUCCAUGAGACGCGUAGAACCGCCAUUUUCGUUCGCAAUUUGAACCUCGAUCUUCGAUUUUGAACCGUCGGAUCAAAGCUAGCCGGAGGUGCUGAGUAUCUACGGGGAGAUACAGUGAAAGAGCCUUCUCGGCUGGAUCUGAACGGAAAUGGCGUUA
RNAcentral lists this unclassified non-coding RNA (272 nucleotides) under Hevea brasiliensis (rubber tree). Lineage: Eukaryota; Viridiplantae; Streptophyta; Magnoliopsida; Malpighiales; Euphorbiaceae. The record is from RNAcentral.